UGUGUUUAUACUUCACCCCAAAAUGUAUUAUUUUUUAUAUUUCCAAGUUUUAAAUUCUGCUCUUACGGUGUUCCAUUUCUGUAUUUAGCCAUUUAUACUCGAGCUAAUUUCUAACACAGUCCAGUCAUGAGUGUUAGUGAUUAAUCAUCAUCAUCUGUGCUAGGCCCUAGUGUUUCAGCUAGCUCUGAGCCGUUGCGCUAGUCAGUAGUGUUUCAGCUAGCUCUGAGCGUUGCGCUAGUCAGUAGUGUUUCAGCUAGCUCUGAGCCGUUGCGCUAGUCAGUAGUGUUUCAGCUAGCUCUGAGCGUUGCGCUAGUCAGUAGUGUUUCAGCUAGCUCUGAGCGUUGCGCUAGUCAGUAGAGUUUCAGCUAGCUCUGAGCGUUGCGCUAGUCAGUAGAGUUUCAGCUAGCUCUGAGCGUUGCGCUAGUGUUUGAAUCACCAGCAUUUAUUUAUUAAUACUCAUGAUUAUCUGCUAGUCUGUACUGUGUGGAAUCAUUUUUCAUUCUGUGCUAUUAAGGGCUAGUUGCUAGUGUUUAUGCUAGUCACACAUGGGCUAUUAGCUGGUUUCUGUGCAUUAGUGAGGGGUAGUCAGGAUCUGUGUGGGUAGUUAGCAUUUGGGCUAUUCGCACAUUACAAUAAAGAAUACAAAAUACAAAAUAAAUAAAACUCCAAUGUAAAUAAAACAUGACGUAAGCCGAAUCUACAGAAAAUAACAUGAUAUUAAUUUAAAUAAUUUAAUAACCAACUGAAAAACCUUUUGUUUUGGGGGUUUUGUUUGUUUUUAUUUUGAAAUUUGGACCAGACUCUGUAAAAGUUCUUUAACUGUAGUGUGUUAAUUUAUCUUUAAAAUGUUCUUUUGGUAGUGAUUUUAUAUUUAACAUCUUUGUGUGUGUGUGUGUGUGAGAGAGAGAGAGUGAAUGAUGAUGAUGUUCAGAUUUCAGUCUAUUUAUAAAUACGUUUGAUUUAUUCUGUGUGAUAACAUCAGUGUUGCAGUGUUUGUUACCCCUCUCUGUAGGGCCUAGUACUCUUCUGUCCCCUUGUACACGGUUUUAUAGAUUUUAAAGCAAUGACAUUUAGUUUAAAAUGACUCAGUCGGCGUUAACUCAUGCUGAACGUUAUCUCUGUGACAGAAACAAAAUUAUUUUGGAAAAGUAACGUGUAAUCAUUUACUGAGAUUUAAAGUGAAGAUUUGAUGCUAAUAAUUGAGUCUCAGAUGGUGUGUUUUGCGCUAGUUGCUAAUGAUCGAGGUUAGCAGCGAUUCUGAUUAGCCGCUAGCUGUGAUUAGCCUGCUAUACAUAGAGAAAUGGGCGGAGCCAUCAUGUUAUCCGAAAUGUACAAAAUCGUUGAUUGUAAAUGAUGCUAAUUAGGAGUGAAAAUCUGUUAGCAUUUAGGUACUCGCUAGCAUAUUUACUUAAGUCAUAGACAUCAGGCCUAGUCGCUAGCGCUUUAACUAGUUAUUAGCAUCUGAGCUACCUGAACAUAAAUUGGGAUAAAUUAUAAAAAUGAAAAAAAUUCAGUGAAAUAAAAGAACAGCAUGAGAUAAAAAAGAGGUGAUUUAAAAUCUUAAACUUUAAUGUUUGAUUUCUGCACCACAGACAUUCGGGUACUACAAAGAGUGUAGUGUGUGUGUGUGAGUGUGUAGUGUGUGUAGUGAGAGUGUAGUGUAAGUGUGGUGUCAGUGUGUGAUUUGAGACGGAGCCUGAAUUCAGCGUAAUAAUUUAAAUAUUUUAAGGAACACUGCGAAUAUUUUGAAGGACAAUCGAAGGACUAUUUUAAUGAAGGUUUAAUUUCUCUACAACAGCACUGUGUGUGUGUGUGUGUGUGUGUGUGUGUGUGUGUGUGUGAUUUUCUCUCUCUGGUUGUGCUUUAUUACUCUGAUUGUGUAAUGAAACACUCCUCCUCUAUAAUAAUGAUAGAUGAAUAUGGGAUUGUAAUUGUACGGAUGAUUAUUUAUCCCGUUGUAGUCGAGGGUUAAUAAUCCGACACUGUGAUUGGUUAAACAGGAACACAGCCGCUCUCAGAUCUGUAUUUUUAUAUUUAUGGAGCUGUGUCGAUUUACAGAAACUAAUUUUUACACAAAUUCUGUGUUCAUUUGUGAAAUGAAUAAAUUUGGACUGAACGCAGCUGUUGUUUGUUUUUCUUUCUUUCUUUAAAAAAAAAAUCUAAAAUCAAUUCUCAGCCUUCAGAAUGAUGUUCUUAAAGUUCUUUUGAAAUGUUUACAUUUAAAUGUACAGUUA
Ictalurus punctatus (channel catfish) is the source of this 2234-nucleotide long non-coding RNA. Lineage: Eukaryota; Metazoa; Chordata; Actinopteri; Siluriformes; Ictaluridae. The record is from Ensembl.